GACGAACGCUGGCGGCGUGCUUAACACAUGCAAGUCGAACGAGAUCUUCGGGUCUAGUGGCGCACGGGUGCGUAACGCGUGGGAAUCUGCCCUUUGGUUCGGAAUAACAGUUGGAAACGACUGCUAAUACCGGAUGAUGACGAAAGUCCAAAGAUUUAUCGCCAGAGGAUGAGCCCGCGUAGGAUUAGCUAGUUGGUGUGGUAAAGGCGCACCAAGGCGACGAUCCAUAGCUGGUCUGAGAGGAUGAUCAGCCACACUGGGACUGAGACACGGCCCAGGCUCCUACGGGAGGCAGGAGUGGGGAAUAUUGGACAAUGGGCGAAAGCCUGAUCCAGCAAUGCCGCGUGAGUGAUGAAGGCCUUAGGGUUGUAAAGCUCUUUUACCCGGGAUGAUAAUGACAGUACCGGGAGAAUAAGCUCCGGCUAACUCCGUGCCAGCAGCCGCCGUAA
This 449-nucleotide ribosomal RNA is filed under the name uncultured bacterium. RNAcentral's name for it is "partial 16S ribosomal RNA". It matches the Rfam family "Bacterial small subunit ribosomal RNA", at positions 28 to 523 of the family's 1533-position model. The record is from RNAcentral.